GAACAUGAGCUGGCCCCUGGUCCUGGUGCUUACGUGCUGGGUUCAAUCCAAGGCGGGGAGGUGUCGGGGGAGGAUUACCCAAGCCAGAUAGAAGGAACUGCAUGAGUGAAGGCCCUUGGACAGCAAACAGCUUGAUGCCUUCCAAGAAGCGAACGAAGCCAUUGGAAGAAGCAAGUUGCCACCUCAGCUUUUCUCCCCUGGUAAGGGGGUAUUUUCCCUUUCAAGGAGAAAGGAGAGAGAGGCCGCAUCUGGGGCACUGUCCAGAGCUGUGAGGCUGUCCAACAAGCACUUGGAUUCUGGCUUCCAUGGGGCCAUAGUUAGUUGGUGAACGUCUGCUCCGACCUUCUUCCCACAGCAGAUGUCCCUUCCACAGUGUCCUAGGGAGAGAGAAGGACCCUUAGGAGGGAGUUCUGGGGAAGCCAGGACAGAGACCAAAGCCCAGGGCCUGCCAGCUUCCAUUCAGCCACCCCAGGACAAGUACCUACUCUGUGCCAAGUUCUGUGCUAAUCUUGCCAAUUUGGAAUAUCAUGAACCUUUAACCUUUUCCUUUGUCUUACCUGGGACACACAACCUUUCAUUCCACAGGUAGGGAUGAUGGACUCAAAUGUGAAUGAUGGCUGCCGGGUGGAGAGCUCUGCUCGCCUUGGGGAAGGAAGUGGCAUUUGAGUUCAGUCCUAGGUGCAUGGAUGCACAUGGACCAUUAAUUUAUGGAGUGGACUAAACUCUUAAGCUCUUGGAGGGAGGAAUCCUGUUGUUGAUGGUGAAUCUGCAGUGCUUAGCGUGAUGCCUGGCUCAUCACAGGUGCUCAGUAUGAUAUAGAGAUUUAUUUGGAGAUUCUCUCCAGGAGAGAGACAGCCAUCUCUCCAGGAAGGCUGUCCAAAUUCGAACCCAGGUUUCUGUCCCUUUGCCCGAGGCCUGCCAUUGGGCCACAGCUACCUAGUGACAGAAAAACUAAGGGAUGUUUGAGGAACUUGAAAUCAUGUCUUGGGGAACUGGGACUGCUUGGCAAGAAAACACAAAGGCACAGGGAGAUCAGGAACGUGGUCUUUAAAUCCUCCAAGAACUGUUGUGGUGAUGUUGUUACCAGUUACUGAGCCCGUCCUAUGUGCCAGGCACUGUGCUAGGGGCUUCACAUACGCAAUCUCAUUUAAUCCUCACAAUAAUCCCAAAAGGAGAAUAUUAUUAUCUAUAUUUGAUAAGGGAGGGAACUGGGGCUUAGAUUAAAUGACCCACCCAAGAUUGUCUACCUGAGAUGUAGAAUAGGUCUCUCUGACUCCCAGACUCCAAAUUGCUGAGAGAGUUUAACCAACACAACAGCACUGCCUAGAGAUUUUGUCAUGUGGUUUCAGAAACUAGAGCUGGCACUCGUGGGUAGGAGCUCCAGGAAGGUAGUUUCCUGUUCCCUGUAGGGUGAUUUCUCUUCCUAAAGGAGAACAGUCUGAAAUUAGAAUGGUCUGCCUUCUGGAGCCCAGCUAACACUGCAGGACCUCCCAGGAUCUUCAACUUCAAUGGGAUCUGGUUCUACAAAAGCUGAAGCUCUCCUGCCUUAGCUUGGUAGGGGCUUUUUCUGAACUGAGCUGACAUGAGCAGCAGUACUCAGACUUCCUAGGUCAACCCAGCCUGGACUCUGUUCUGGUUCCUGUUCUCCCUGAAGCCCAAGCUAUAGGGCUGGGUUCAGGUUUCUUCCAAAAGGAGCUGGGCAGGAAUGUGCACCUGACCCCCUUUGGAAUGGGCCACACAACCACAUGGCCAGGUCUCUGGACCCUGGCAUGGAAGCCGGCACUUGUUUGGGCUUCAGGGGAGGGCAGAUUGGAGUAGACGCACCUGUUCUGGGCUCUUGAGGGCUACAGACGUUUACAUGGAUGCAUUCAUUGUCCUGUGCCUUUCACUUUGCCUCACUGACUUCUGGUGGCCAUGUGGCUGGCUCCAGGAUGCAGAAGGGUAUGGGUUGGCUCUUGAGCCCCUGCCACACAUCGAGUGAGCUGAUAUCAGUGGUUUACACAGGAGGCUGCAGGAGCAGGGGACAACCAAUUGGAAUUGCAAGACAUGGAUGAGAUUGCGUUUUCAACUCCAGAGCAUUUUGACCAGAAAUUAGAGUUGGAAAGGCCCUAAAGGUGAUAUUGUCCAGCUACACACCCAGCGUGGAGUUGCUCCACUCAGCACCCCUGCCAGGCAGUCGGCCAGGCUUUCCUUCAACAAGGCUAAUUUUGGAUGGCUCUAAUGAGGAGGAACUCCUUCCUGGCCCUCCGCAGAGUCUGUUCCUAUGCACUGCCUUAUUGCCUCUCACCGUGGCCUUGUGAGGGGUUCUGUAUUCAAUGAGCUUGCGUGAUCCUGGGCAGGCCUUCUUUGUGUCUCCCACCCACCGUUUCUGCAUGAGCACGUCUGCUUCCCUUUGGUGAAGUUUUCCUGUUACCACUCCUGGGAUACGAAUCCAGGGUAAGCAUUGGUGACCUGUCUUACAGCGUGGUGAGGUUCAAAGAUAAGGCAUAGGCCUUGCCCACGUCAUCCCACACGUGUGGCCAGGCAAGGACCACAACCCCCGAGAUGCUCAGUCUUGUGCUUUGCUGCUCAGGCACAGUCUGCCUCCUUCCUGAUCUCUGGCAUGUUUUAUCGGCAAGAUUUAGAAAGCCCUUUCCAAACAGCAAGGUUAAAGCUUUGGGCUUCCUUCUUUAGAAUGUACCUGGCUGGUGGGGUGAGUGUGGGGAUGGACACGUAGGAGCCACAUGGUACCAGGAACAGGACAUAGCAGCAAGGAGGAGGGAUCUGGAGGGGGGCCAGGGUGUGAUGGCUGAGUGCCUCGGAGAAGGGCCGCCGCCACGGGAGGCUGGGGCCACCCUGGUAACUCCCUCCUGUUCUCCUUCAGAGGUCUUUCAUCUCCCUGCCUCCUUUGUCUUUCGGCUUUUCUCCUUUUUUUCUUCUUGUGAGGCAGCCCUGAGCUGUUCUGCCUUCCAGCUCUUUAGCAUCUUCUCUUCUGUCUACCUGGAGAUUCCCGAUCUUAAGGUUUAGCAUCCUUGAUGCAUCAUAUUUCUUUAUAACGUCUUCUCCUUCAGGGCUCUGCAGCCAUACCUGCCAUUUCAGAGCAACUCCUGUCUGUACCUGGGAGCUUUAACACUGAGCCUCAACCAGACAGUCUGGAUGCUUGGCUGCCAGCCUGCCCAGAACAUUUAAUUACCUCUUGCAGGUGACAUCUUAUUCCACAGCGACAUUUCACGACAGUGCCUUAAUGCUGAAGGACAGGUCCAGUGGUAGGAAUUUGAUGUAUCGUGGCAUGCCAACAAGAGGACGUUUGGGGGCAAUAGAAGGAAAUGAGUAAUUUGUGGGGUACCUUCCACGUGCCAGGAACAGGGCGAGCUUCUUCCAGUGAGCCUGUGAGGUGGCACCAUUAUCUCUGUUUUACACAUUCGAGAACUCAAGCUUGCUUAGGGUCCCAGGGCCAGUUAAUGGGUGGGGUCAGAGUGUGAAUCCUCUUCUGCUUGAUUCCAGAGCCCAAGCUCCUUCCCCUGUUCUGUGCUGCCUCUCCACAGGGCCUCUGUCUUCAGUGUUUCCUACUAGCGCCGAGCCCAGCACCUGGCAUGAACAUGAACAUGUGACGGUGGUCUUAGAAGGUGGGAUAGGGCUGUCAGAUCUUAGAGGCUUGUCUGGGGGUUAGGACUCACCCUUCCCCAGUAGGCACUGAGAAACGGAUUUGACGAUGAUGAAGAUUUACGUACCAUUGGUGCUUGGCUCACCCUGUGAAGGCAGUGGCCCUGAUUCUCCCUGAUGUGGACAGACCGGGUGAGAGGGGCACCUCUGCUGCCUGUGGUCAUUCUGGGAUCCAUAUCCUUUGGAAGUGCUGCUCCAUCACAGGACAUCAUUGUCCACAUGGCUGAAGCUUGGAUUCCAACCAGGGGAAGGGAAAAGAGGAGGUGAAGGAGACAAGCCUGUUGUCCUUAGGCCCAGGUCCUCUGUGACUCACAUCCCUACAGCUCACAUUCCAUUGGCAAGAAUGUAAUUACAGGGACUUCCCUGACUGCAAGGGAGGCUGGGAAAUGUGGUCCAGCUGGGCUGCCACUUGCCCAGAAGGAGGGGAGAAUGGACUUGGGUAGACAGCUGCCAGUCUUAGCACAAAAGAUGGAGAGUAUUUUCCUUUGCAUGUGCUGAUACGAAGAAUAUUUCCCUGCCUGUAAUGUGCCCACUCUCUUUGAUAACUUGCACACAUGCCUCCCUCCUUGGCAAACAUCUGUGCAUCAGACUCAAUGCUGCACAAACUGGGUGAACCAGAAGCUGAGUAAGGCAGUUCCUGCCUUUUAGCAACUCAGUGUGGUCUGGAGAGGGCAAGUGUGGAGGCCAGAGAGUCUGUAAGUGGCAACACAGAGAUUCUCUUGUUCUUGUGUGCGAGGCACUGCAGAUACAGAACUAAAGGACCACACAUGGCCUCCAUAUGCGCGCAGUCGUGUGGACUAGGAGAUGGAAGUGAAGUGCUGGGAGCAGGGCUGGCUUGGGGAAUGAGGAGGGCUUCACGGAAGAGGUGACAUUGGAGCCGGGCACAGAAGCGUUCAGUUUCAACAGGUGGAGGAGGGGAAUCUUCAGGAGAGAAGACCAACAGCGAAGGCGUGCAGACUUGCAAACCCGUGCAGGGUUGCCGGCCCGGGUGUGGUCUGCGCAUAGUGGGAGGGAGUCCAGAUGUCUGUGUGGUUCAUUCCUUGCUCCAUUCUGGCCUCUGCACCUGCUCCUUGCACCUGCCUUCCCUGGCCACCCUUUCUACAAUUGUGCCCCCUCUCAUGACUUUAUUUUUCUGCUUUAUUUUGAGCAUAACACAUAUAAAUACCUGGCACAUCUAUAUUGACCUGUGCAUCAUCUGUCUCUCCCAUUAGAGUAUAAGUUCCAUGAGAGCAAGGAUUUUGUUUUGUACAGUACCAGGCAAAUAGCAGGUACUCAGAUGUUUGCUGAAUGAAUAAAUGAAUGAAUAGAAAUGUGUGUUGAAGAUCACAUUCUUGGAAAACCUUGAUUUCUAUGCUAAAGAGUUGGGCUUUUAUUUUGUAAGGCAGUGGGAAGCCACGGAAAGUUUUUGAGCAGGGGGGUGACACAGUCACUGUAGGGAAGGUUAUUGGCAGCAGGAAGAUGGGUUGGAGCAGGGAGAAGGUGCCCCUUCCCUGGUCCUACCCCAGCUCCGCAGCAAUAUACCCUUCAGCCUAGUGCCCCGUUUGUGCAGCCUGGAAACCUUUUCGCGGGCACGGUCAUUUUGUUCGGAGCCGAGCAGAGAUUCAGUCUCUGGCAAGUCUUCAUUUCUAGCAGUGGGGUGGAUGUAAGCUGACCUCUGCUUUUCUUUUUGGAGGCCAAAGAAGGUCUAACAGCCACUCUUGUGCACUUCACCGGUGAAAGUGAAAAUUGAUACAGUCUUUCUGGAAAGCAGUUUGGCAAAAGGUAACCAAGUACCUUAAAGAUAUUGUUAAAGAUACCUUUAACCUAGAAAUUCCACGAGGACUCUGUCAUAGGAAAGGAAGCCAAAGUAUGUGCAAAGCUUUAUGUAUGAAGACUUUCGUACCAGUGUGAAAAAUUAGAAAUGAUCUAAAUGUGUGACUCAAGUACCUCUCAUCUCCAUCCCACUAAAACUCUGCCUGCCACAUAAUAGGCACUCAAUACAGUUGGAGUCCGGGCCCUUGUUUUCUCUCCUGAGCUAAUGCAGCAGCCUCCUAACUGGUCUUCCUGCUGCCAGUCUAGUCCCCUCAAACCCACCCUAUGCAUGGAUUCCAGAAUGAAUGAUCAAAAAUGCGUGUCCUGGGCUUCCCUGGUGGCGCAUCGGUUGAGAGUCCGCCAGCCGAUGCAGGGGACACGGGUUCGUGCCCCGGUCCGGGAAGAUCCCACAUGCCUUGGAGCAACU
Molecule: long non-coding RNA, 5860 nt
Organism: Physeter macrocephalus (sperm whale)
Lineage: Eukaryota; Metazoa; Chordata; Mammalia; Artiodactyla; Physeteridae
Exons: 3
Source: RefSeq, a predicted model, not a curated record